Molecule: ribosomal RNA, 462 nt
Filed under: uncultured bacterium
Lineage: Bacteria
Description: partial 16S ribosomal RNA
Rfam family: Bacterial small subunit ribosomal RNA
Source: RNAcentral
GACGAACGCUGGCGGCGUGCUUAACACAUGCAAGUCGAACGGAAAGGCCCUUCGGGGUACUCGAGUGGCGAACGGGUGAGUAACACGUGGGUGAUCUGCCCUGCACUUUGGGAUAAGCCUGGGAAACUGGGUCUAAUACCGAAUAGGACCACGCGCUUCAUGGUGUGUGGUGGAAAGCUUUUGCGGUGUGGGAUGGGCCCGCGGCCUAUCAGCUUGUUGGUGGGGUAAUGGCCUACCAAGGCGACGACGGGUAGCCGGCCUGAGAGGGGGACCGGCCACACUGGGACUGAGAUAAGGCCCAGGCGCCUACGGGAGGCAGCAGUGGGGAAUAUUGCACAAUGGGCGCAAGCCUGAUGCAGCGACGCCGCGUGCGGGAAGACGGGCUUCGGGUUGUAAACCUCUUUCACCAGGGACGAAGCGUAAGUGACGGUACCUGGAGAAGAAGCACCGGUCAACUACGUG